This 241-nucleotide long non-coding RNA is filed under the name Physcomitrium patens. RNAcentral describes it as "long non-coding RNA (PPAT_LNC011595)". The record is from RNAcentral. Lineage: Eukaryota; Viridiplantae; Streptophyta; Bryopsida; Funariales; Funariaceae.
AUUCCUUUCUUUGGUCUCUUCCAUGAGAAUCCAUUUCGAAGCAAAAAUCCAUAUGCUUUUUCUCUUAUUUGUUUGAAUUUUUCUGUAGACCAAUUCCCCUACUUAGUCAAGGUAUUCAAGUAAUGACCAAUAUCCAAUAAUUCUCCUUCAUAAGAUUCUUCAAGAAAUAGCUUGUCUUCUCUGUUGAGAUUUGAUAUUGAAUAGAAUUUCAAUCCGACGUCAUCAAUGUCUUCAACCAUUU